RNAcentral lists this ribosomal RNA (492 nucleotides) under uncultured bacterium. RNAcentral describes it as "partial 16S ribosomal RNA". It matches the Rfam family "Bacterial small subunit ribosomal RNA", at positions 29 to 507 of the family's 1533-position model. The record is from RNAcentral.
AGUGAACGCUGGCGGUAGGCCUAACACAUGCAAGUCGAACGGCAGCACAGUAAGAGCUUGCUCUUACGGGUGGCGAGUGGCGGACGGGUGAGGAAUACAUCGGAAUCUACUUUUUCGUGGGGGAUAACGUAGGGAGACUUACGCUAAUACCGCAUACGACCUACGGGUGAAAGCAGGGGGUCUUCGGACCUUGCGCGAUUGAAUGAGCCGAUGUCGGAUUAGCUAGUUGGCGGGGUAAAGGCCAACCAAGGCGACGAUCCGUAGCUGGUCUGAGAGGAUGAUCAGCCACACUGGAACGGAGACACGGUCCAGACUCCUACGGGAGGCAGCAGUGGGGAAUAUUGGACAAUGGGCGGAAGCCUGAUCCAGCCAUACCGCGUGGGUGAAGAAGGCCUUCGGGUUGUAAAGCCCUUUUGUUGGGAAAGAAAAGCAGCAGGUUAAUACCCCGCUGUUCUGACGGUACCCAAAGAAUAAGCACCGGCUAACUUCGUG